RNAcentral lists this ribosomal RNA (376 nucleotides) under uncultured bacterium. RNAcentral's name for it is "bacterial SSU rRNA". It matches the Rfam family "Bacterial small subunit ribosomal RNA", at positions 521 to 896 of the family's 1533-position model. The record is from RNAcentral.
UAAUACGUAGGGAGCAAGCGUUGUUCGGAUUUACUGGGCGUAAAGAGUGCGUAGGCGGUUAUAUAAGUCAAAGGUGAAAUCCCUACUCUCAAAGUAGGAACUGCCUUUGAUACUAUAUAACUAGAGGACAAGAGGGGGAAAUGGAACUCUGGGAGUAGCGGUGGAAUGCGUAGAUAUCCAGAGGAACGCCGGUAGCGAAGGCGGUUUUCUGGCUUGCCCCUGACGCUGAGGCACUAAAGCUAGGGGAGCGAUCGGGAUUAGAGACCCCGGUAGUCCUAGCCGUAAACGAUGGGUACUAAGUGUGGGGGGAGCAUUACCCUCCGUGCUGAAGCUAACGCGUUAAGUACCCCGCCUGGGGAGUACGGCCGCAAGGCUG